AGUUGCACUGCUGGAACAUGUCUGUGGAGCUGAAUUCAUUGAAUUCGAUGAUGGAAAGUAAUCGUCAAGCUCAGCGGUUUGUUGAGCGGUUAAUGGGAGUUUUUGCAAGACAUUAUUCCAAAGACUACAUCCCUUUAACGUCGAGCUUCAGUAUCAAAUGUUCUAUUUUUUCUAAUUCUAUGUACUCUAACUUUAAUGUACCGUGCUGUUAACAUGGCAUAGAUUUUUCCGUUGAUUCGUUUACAAAAAAUAUCAGAAAAUACUUGCACAUUACAAAAAAGGGGAGCUAAACACAUUUUAAAAUUAUCCGGUUAUAACUGUGAACACAUCAGUUUUCAUUAAUAUUUCGUGUUUUUCAAUAAAACAAUCAAAAAGUUAGU
Molecule: non-coding RNA, 380 nt
Organism: Caenorhabditis elegans
Lineage: Eukaryota; Metazoa; Nematoda; Chromadorea; Rhabditida; Rhabditidae
Gene: F32F2.2
Product: ncRNA
Source: Ensembl